Long non-coding RNA from Pelobates fuscus (common spadefoot toad), 209 nucleotides. RefSeq lists it as uncharacterized. The record is from RefSeq and is a predicted model, not a curated record. Lineage: Eukaryota; Metazoa; Chordata; Amphibia; Anura; Pelobatidae. The transcript is spliced from 3 exons.
CUGAAAAUUAAAGCAAUUCACUUUCAGUUUCUGUUUAAGUCAAACUGAUACUUAGUCACACACCCAUGUUAUUUCUCUCUCCGGCUGCAAUAAGAUUCCAGGACAAUGUCAGUUAGUAUAAAGAAUUAUAUUUUUCCAGUCAUCGGUGUGAUCUUAUUCCCUUUUUAUCUGCUGGGGAAUCUGUUCCUGUGGAUCAUCCUGUGUAUAAA